Molecule: ribosomal RNA, 243 nt
Filed under: uncultured bacterium
Lineage: Bacteria
Description: partial 16S ribosomal RNA
Rfam family: Bacterial small subunit ribosomal RNA
Source: RNAcentral
GAUCCUGGCUCGGAUUGAACGCUGGCGGCAGGCCUAACACAUGCAAGUCGAACGGUAACAGGAAGCAGCUUGCUGCCUCGCUGACGAGUGGCGGACGGGUGAGUAAUGUCUGGGAAACUGCCUGAUGGAGGGGGGAUAACUACUGGAAACGGUAGCUAAUACCGCAUAACGUCGCAAGACCAAAGAGGGGGACCUUCGGGCCUCUUGCCAUCGGAUGUGUCCAGAUGGGAUUAGCUAGUAGGG